Molecule: ribosomal RNA, 253 nt
Filed under: uncultured bacterium
Lineage: Bacteria
Description: partial 16S ribosomal RNA
Rfam family: Bacterial small subunit ribosomal RNA
Source: RNAcentral
UACGUAGGGGGCUAGCGUUGUCCGGAAUCAUUGGGCGUAAAGCGCGCGUAGGCGGCCCGGUAAGUCCGUUGUGAAAGUCAAAGGCUCAACCUUUGAAGGCCGAUGGAUACUGCCGGGCUGGAGUCCGGAAGAGGCGAGUGGAAUUCCUGGUGUAGCGGUGGAAUGCGCAGAUAUCAGGAGGAACACCAAUAGCGAAGGCAGCUCGCUGGGACGGUACUGACGCUGAGGCGCGAAAGCGUGGGGAGCGAACAGG